This 2230-nucleotide ribosomal RNA is filed under the name Salmonella enterica subsp. enterica serovar Typhimurium. RNAcentral describes it as "partial 23S ribosomal RNA". It matches the Rfam family "Bacterial large subunit ribosomal RNA", at positions 711 to 2833 of the family's 2925-position model. Lineage: Bacteria; Pseudomonadati; Pseudomonadota; Gammaproteobacteria; Enterobacterales; Enterobacteriaceae. The record is from RNAcentral.
AGACCCGAAACCCGGUGAUCUAGCCAUGGGCAGGUUGAAGGUUGGGUAACACUAACUGGAGGACCGAACCGACUAAUGUUGAAAAAUUAGCGGAUGACCUGUGGCUGGGGGUGAAAGGCCAAUCAAACCGGGAGAUAGCUGGUUCUCCCCGAAAGCUAUUUAGGUAGCGCCUCGUGAAUUCAUCUCCGGGGGUAGAGCACUGUUUCGGCUAGGGGGCCAUCCCGGCUUACCAACCCGAUGCAAACUGCGAAUACCGGAGAAUGUUAUCACGGGAGACACACGGCGGGUGCUAACGUCCGUCGUGAAGAGGGAAACAACCCAGACCGCCAGCUAAGGUCCCAAAGUCAUGGUUAAGUGGGAAACGAUGUGGGAAGGCCCAGACAGCCAGGAUGUUGGCUUAGAAGCAGCCAUCAUUUAAAGAAAGCGUAAUAGCUCACUGGUCGAGUCGGCCUGCGCGGAAGAUGUAACGGGGCUAAACCAUGCACCGAAGCUGCGGCAGCGAACGUAUCACCCAAGACAACUUUACGGAGUUGACGAUUGACGGAGCGAAGCGACGUCAAAGCGUUCAUUAAAGUCGAGUUGGCUUAGGGAUACGUUCGUUGGGUAGGGGAGCGUUCUGUAAGCCUGUGAAGGUGUGUCGUGAGGCAUGCUGGAGGUAUCAGAAGUGCGAAUGCUGACAUAAGUAACGAUAAAGCGGGUGAAAAGCCCGCUCGCCGGAAGACCAAGGGUUCCUGUCCAACGUUAAUCGGGGCAGGGUGAGUCGACCCCUAAGGCGAGGCCGAAAGGCGUAGUCGAUGGGAAACGGGUUAAUAUUCCCGUACUUGGUGUUACUGCGAAGGGGGGACGGAGAAGGCUAUGUUGGCCGGGCGACGGUUGUCCCGGUUUAAGCGUGUAGGUGUGUGUUCCAGGUAAAUCCGGUUCACUUUAACACUGAGGCGUGACGACGAGGCACUACGGUGCUGAAGCAACAAAUGCCCUGCUUCCAGGAAAAGCCUCUAAGCAUCAGGUAACACGAAAUCGUACCCCAAACCGACACAGGUGGUCAGGUAGAGAAUACCAAGGCGCUUGAGAGAACUCGGGUGAAGGAACUAGGCAAAAUGGUGCCGUAACUUCGGGAGAAGGCACGCUGACACGUAGGUGAAGUGAUUUACUCAUGGAGCUGAAGUCAGUCGAAGAUACCAGCUGGCUGCAACUGUUUAUUAAAAACACAGCACUGUGCAAACACGAAAGUGGACGUAUACGGUGUGACGCCUGCCCGGUGCCGGAAGGUUAAUUGAUGGGGUCAGCGUAAGCGAAGCUCCUGAUCGAAGCCCCGGUAAACGGCGGCCGUAACUAUAACGGUCCUAAGGUAGCGAAAUUCCUUGUCGGGUAAGUUCCGACCUGCACGAAUGGCGUAAUGAUGGCCAGGCUGUCUCCACCCGAGACUCAGUGAAAUUGAACUCGCUGUGAAGAUGCAGUGUACCCGCGGCAAGACGGAAAGACCCCGUGAACCUUUACUAUAGCUUGACACUGAACAUUGAGCCUUGAUGUGUAGGAUAGGUGGGAGGCUUUGAAGUGUGGACGCCAGUCUGCAUGGAGCCGACCUUGAAAUACCACCCUUUAAUGUUUGAUGUUCUAACGUGGACCCGUAAUCCGGGUUGCGGACAGUGUCUGGUGGGUAGUUUGACUGGGGCGGUCUCCUCCUAAAGAGUAACGGAGGAGCACGAAGGUUGGCUAAUCCUGGUCGGACAUCAGGAGGUUAGUGCAAUGGCAUAAGCCAGCUUGACUGCGAGCGUGACGGCGCGAGCAGGUGCGAAAGCAGGUCAUAGUGAUCCGGUGGUUCUGAAUGGAAGGGCCAUCGCUCAACGGAUAAAAGGUACUCCGGGGAUAACAGGCUGAUACCGCCCAAGAGUUCAUAUCGACGGCGGUGUUUGGCACCUCGAUGUCGGCUCAUCACAUCCUGGGGCUGAAGUAGGUCCCAAGGGUAUGGCUGUUCGCCAUUUAAAGUGGUACGCGAGCUGGGUUUAGAACGUCGUGAGACAGUUCGGUCCCUAUCUGCCGUGGGCGCUGGAGAACUGAGGGGGGCUGCUCCUAGUACGAGAGGACCGGAGUGGACGCAUCACUGGUGUUCGGGUUGUCAUGCCAAUGGCACUGCCCGGUAGCUAAAUGCGGAAGAGAUAAGUGCUGAAAGCAUCUAAGCACGAAACUUGCCCCGAGAUGAGUUCUCCCUGAGACUUAGAGUCUCCUGAAG